ACUCUUUAGAUCCACAUGCAUAUGGGAAGGUCUGAGGCGCCUCUACUCAGAGAUUGAAUGAAAGUAAUUUCUGGAAGAACCAACAGCAAAUGUAGCCCCGUGGUGCCAGUCGAAGAUAUUGCAUCUAAGCAAAGGAGACUUAUAUCAUCAUGGACGCAUGAGAGGUUUCUGCGGCGUUGAAUCUAAGUACAAUGAGCGUGGCGAGCAUAAAAAUUUUCAAAGUAAUUUGAGGAUGUCAUUGCUCGUAACUCAAUUCAGACUACUCUUC
This 268-nucleotide RNase P RNA is filed under the name uncultured Strombidinopsis. RNAcentral describes it as "partial Nuclear RNase P". It matches the Rfam family "Nuclear RNase P", at positions 47 to 295 of the family's 301-position model. From Rfam's summary of the family: Ribonuclease P (RNase P) is a ubiquitous endoribonuclease, found in archaea, bacteria and eukarya as well as chloroplasts and mitochondria. Its best characterised activity is the generation of mature 5'-ends of tRNAs by cleaving the 5'-leader elements of precursor-tRNAs. Lineage: Eukaryota; Ciliophora; Spirotrichea; Choreotrichida. The record is from RNAcentral.